GAUGAACGCUAGCGGCAGGCCUAAUACAUGCAAGUCGGACGGGAUUGUGGAGCUUGCUUCACAUGAGAGUGGCGCACGGGUGCGUAACACGUAUGUAACCUACCUUAAUCUGGGGGAUAGCCUCUCGAAAGAGAGAUUAACACCGCAUAACAUUACACCACAGCAUUAUGGAGUAAUCAAAUAUUUAUAGGAUUAAGAUGGGCAUGCGGAACAUUAGCUAGUUGGUAAGGUAACGGCUUACCAAGGCUACGAUGUUUAGGGGAUCUGAGAGGAUGACCCCCCACACUGGUACUGAGACACGGACCAGACUCCUACGGGAGGCAGCAGUAAGGAAUAUUGGUCAAUGGGCGCAAGCCUGAACCAGCCAUGCCGCGUGCAGGAAGACGGCCCUACGGGUUGUAAACUGCUUUUAUACCGGAAUAAACCCUUUUACGUGUAAGAGGCUGAAUGUACGGUAAGAAUAAGGAUCGGCUAACUCCGUGCCAGCAGCCGCAGUAAAAC
RNAcentral lists this ribosomal RNA (501 nucleotides) under uncultured bacterium. RNAcentral describes it as "bacterial SSU rRNA". It matches the Rfam family "Bacterial small subunit ribosomal RNA", at positions 28 to 526 of the family's 1533-position model. The record is from RNAcentral.